Molecule: transfer RNA, 73 nt
Filed under: Urocitellus parryii (Arctic ground squirrel)
Lineage: Eukaryota; Metazoa; Chordata; Mammalia; Rodentia; Sciuridae
Also listed under: 1 other name
Description: Spermophilus parryii (Arctic ground squirrel) tRNA
Rfam family: tRNA
About the family: Transfer RNA (tRNA) molecules are approximately 80 nucleotides in length. Their secondary structure includes four short double-helical elements and three loops (D, anti-codon, and T loops). Further hydrogen bonds mediate the characteristic L-shaped molecular structure. tRNAs have two regions of fundamental functional importance: the anti-codon, which is responsible for specific mRNA codon recognition, and the 3' end, to which the tRNAs corresponding amino acid is attached (by aminoacyl-tRNA synthetases). tRNAs cope with the degeneracy of the genetic code in two manners: having more than one tRNA (with a specific anti-codon) for a particular amino acid; and 'wobble' base-pairing, i.e. permitting non-standard base-pairing at the 3rd anti-codon position.
Source: Rfam by way of RNAcentral
UGGGUUGUAGCUCAGUGGUAGAGCACUUGGCUCUGCAUGCAUGAGGUCCUGGGUUCAAUCCCCAGUACCCCAU